UACAUGGGGUGCAAACGUUGCUCGGAAUUAUUGGGCGUAAAGCGCACGUAGGCGGUUCGUUAAGUCGGAUGUGAAAGCCCUCGGCUCAACUGAGGAAGUGCACCCGAAACUGGCGAGCUUGAGUACGAAAGAGGAUCGCGGAAUUCCCGGUGUAGAGGUGAAAUUCGUAGAUAUCGGGAGGAACACCGGUGGCGAAGCGGCGAUCUGGGUCGAUACUGACGCUGAGGUGCGAAAGCGUGGGGAGCAAACAGG
RNAcentral lists this ribosomal RNA (252 nucleotides) under uncultured bacterium. RNAcentral's name for it is "partial 16S ribosomal RNA". It matches the Rfam family "Bacterial small subunit ribosomal RNA", at positions 524 to 776 of the family's 1533-position model. The record is from RNAcentral.